Molecule: ribosomal RNA, 469 nt
Filed under: uncultured bacterium
Lineage: Bacteria
Description: SSU rRNA
Rfam family: Bacterial small subunit ribosomal RNA
Source: RNAcentral
AGGACGAACGCUGGCGGCGUGCUUAACACAUGCAAGUCGAACGGAAAGGCCCUUCGGGGUACUCGAGUGGCGAACGGGUGAGUAACACGUGGGUGAUCUGCCCUGCACUUCGGGAUAAGCCUGGGAAACUGGGUCUAAUACCGGAUAUGACUACGAAUCGCAUGGUUUGUGGUGGAAAGCUUUUGCGGUGUGGGAUGGGCCCGCGGCCUAUCAGCUUGUUGGUGGGGUGAUGGCCUACCAAGGCGACGACGGGUAGCCGGCCUGAGAGGGUGUCCGGCCACACUGGGACUGAGAUACGGCCCAGACUCCUACGGGAGGCAGCAGUAGGGAAUCUUGCGCAAUGGGCGAAAGCCUGACGCAGCCAUGCCGCGUGAAUGAUGAAGGUCUUAGGAUUGUAAAAUUCUUUCAGCGGGAAGAUAAUGACUGUACCCGCAGAAGAAGCUCCGGCUAACUUCGUGCCAGCAGCCGC